AUCUAUAGCUCAGUGGAUAGAGCGUUCGCCUCCGAAGUGAAAGGUCGCUGGUUCGAAUCCAGUUAGGUGC
This 70-nucleotide transfer RNA is filed under the name Anaerocolumna aminovalerica. It matches the Rfam family "tRNA". Rfam says of the family: Transfer RNA (tRNA) molecules are approximately 80 nucleotides in length. Their secondary structure includes four short double-helical elements and three loops (D, anti-codon, and T loops). Further hydrogen bonds mediate the characteristic L-shaped molecular structure. tRNAs have two regions of fundamental functional importance: the anti-codon, which is responsible for specific mRNA codon recognition, and the 3' end, to which the tRNAs corresponding amino acid is attached (by aminoacyl-tRNA synthetases). tRNAs cope with the degeneracy of the genetic code in two manners: having more than one tRNA (with a specific anti-codon) for a particular amino acid; and 'wobble' base-pairing, i.e. permitting non-standard base-pairing at the 3rd anti-codon position. Lineage: Bacteria; Bacillati; Bacillota; Clostridia; Lachnospirales; Lachnospiraceae. The record is from RNAcentral.